GACGAAGGAUGCAAGCGUUAUCCGGAUUCAUUGGGUUUAAAGGGAGCGUAGGUGGCCUUAUAAGUCAGUGGUGAAAUCUCGCAGCUUAACUGCGAAAUUGCCAUUGAUACUGUAGGGCUUGAGUACAGUUGCCGUUGGCGGAAUAUGACAUGUAGUGGUGAAAUACAUAGAGAUGUCAUAGAACACCGAUUGCGAAGGCAGCUAACGAAACUGUAACUGACACUGAGGCUCGAAAGCUAGGGGAGCGAACGGG
This 253-nucleotide ribosomal RNA is filed under the name uncultured bacterium. RNAcentral's name for it is "partial 16S ribosomal RNA". It matches the Rfam family "Bacterial small subunit ribosomal RNA", at positions 524 to 776 of the family's 1533-position model. The record is from RNAcentral.